GACGAACGCUGGCGGCGUGCUUAACACAUGCAAGUCGAACGGAAAGGCCCCUUUGGGGGUCCUCGAGUGGCGAACGGGUGAGUAACACGUGAGUAACCUGCCCUUGACUUCGGGAUAACUUCAGGAAACUGGGGCUAAUACCGGAUAGGAAUCCUUGCUGCAUGGUGGGGGUUGGAAAGCUUCGGCGGUUUUGGAUGGACUCGCGGCUUAUCAGCUUGUUGGUGGGGUAGUGGCUUACCAAGGCUUUGACGGGUAGCCGGCCUGAGAGGGCGACCGGCCACAUUGGGACUGAGAUACGGCCCAGACUCCUACGGGAGGCAGCAGUGGGGAAUAUUGCACAAUGGGCGGGAGCCUGAUGCAGCAACGCCGCGUGCGGGAGGACGGCCUUCGGGUUGUAAACCGCUUUCAGCAGGGGCGAAGCUUGUGGUGACGGUACCUGCAGAAGAAGCACCGGCUAACUACGUG
RNAcentral lists this ribosomal RNA (465 nucleotides) under uncultured bacterium. RNAcentral's name for it is "partial 16S ribosomal RNA". It matches the Rfam family "Bacterial small subunit ribosomal RNA", at positions 28 to 507 of the family's 1533-position model. The record is from RNAcentral.